RNAcentral lists this ribosomal RNA (381 nucleotides) under Pleosporales sp. H21. RNAcentral describes it as "bacterial SSU rRNA". It matches the Rfam family "Eukaryotic small subunit ribosomal RNA", at positions 21 to 375 of the family's 1831-position model. Lineage: Eukaryota; Fungi; Ascomycota; Dothideomycetes; Pleosporales. The record is from RNAcentral.
UAGUCAUAUGCUUGUCUCAAAGAUUAAGCCAUGCAUGUCUAGUAUAGCAUUAUACCGUGAAACUGCGAAUGGCUCAUUAAAUCAGUUAUCGUUUAUUUGAUAGUACCUUACUACUUGGAUAACCGUGGUAAUUCUAGAGCUAAUACAUGCUAAAAACCCCAACUUCGGGAGGGGUGUAUUUAUUAGAUAAAAAACCAAUGCCCUUCGGGGCUCCUUGGUGAUUCAUGAUAACUUCUCAGAUCGCAUGGCUUUACGCCGGCGACGGUUCAUUCAAAUUUCUGCCCUAUCAACUUUCGAUGGUAAGGUAUUGGCUUACCAUGGUUCAACGGGUAACGGGGAAUGGGGCGGGGGCGGCGGGCCGGGCGCGGGGCGCGGCGGGCG